CCUACGGGGGGCUGCAGUGGGGAAUAUUGGACAAUGGGCGAAAGCCUGAUCCAGCCAUGCCGCGUGUGUGAAGAAGGCCUUCGGGUUGUAAAGCACUUUCAGUGGGGAAGAAAGCCUUGGGGCUAAUACCCUCGAGGAAGGACAUCACCCACAGAAGAAGCACCGGCUAACUCCGUGCCAGCAGCCGCGGUAAUACGGAGGGUGCGAGCGUUAAUCGGAAUUACUGGGCGUAAAGCGCGCGUAGGCGGUCUGAUAAGCCGGUUGUGAAAGCCCCGGGCUCAACCUGGGAACGGCAUCCGGAACUGUCAGGCUAGAGUGCAGGAGAGGAAGGUAGAAUUCCCGGUGUAGCGGUGAAAUGCGUAGAGAUCGGGAGGAAUACCAGUGGCGAAGGCGGCCUUCUGGACUGACACUGACGCUGAGGUGCGAAAGCGUGGGUAGCAAACAGGAUUAGAUACCCCGGUAGUC
RNAcentral lists this ribosomal RNA (465 nucleotides) under Vreelandella stevensii. Its description in RNAcentral is "partial 16S ribosomal RNA". It matches the Rfam family "Bacterial small subunit ribosomal RNA", at positions 338 to 795 of the family's 1533-position model. Lineage: Bacteria; Pseudomonadati; Pseudomonadota; Gammaproteobacteria; Oceanospirillales; Halomonadaceae. The record is from RNAcentral.